This 425-nucleotide ribosomal RNA is filed under the name uncultured bacterium. Its description in RNAcentral is "bacterial SSU rRNA". It matches the Rfam family "Bacterial small subunit ribosomal RNA", at positions 354 to 796 of the family's 1533-position model. The record is from RNAcentral.
GUGGGGAAUCUUAGACAAUGGGCGCAAGCCUGAUCUAGCCAUGCCGCGUGAGCGAUGAAGGCCUUAGGGUUGUAAAGCUCUUUCAGGGGGGAAGAUAAUGACGGUACCCCCAGAAGAAGCCCCGGCUAACUCCGUGCCAGCAGCCGCGGUAAUACGGAGGGGGCUAGCGUUGUUCGGAAUUACUGGGCGUAAAGCGCACGUAGGCGUACCAGAAAGUCAGGGGUGAAAUCCCGGGGCUCAACCCCGGAACUGCCUUUGAAACUCCUGGUCUUGAGGUCGAGAGAGGUGAGUGGAAUUCCGAGUGUAGAGGUGAAAUUCGUAGAUAUUCGGAGGAACACCAGUGGCGAAGGCGGCCCACUGGCUCGAUACUGACGCUGAGGUGCGAAAGCGUGGGGAGCAAACAGGAUUAGAAACCCUGGUAGUCC